RNAcentral lists this small nuclear RNA (323 nucleotides) under Neotoma lepida (desert woodrat). RNAcentral's name for it is "7SK RNA". It matches the Rfam family "7SK RNA". From Rfam's summary of the family: 7SK was discovered as an abundant small nuclear RNA in the mid-70s but a possible function has only recently been suggested. Two independent studies have found that 7SK RNA binds the CDK9/cyclin T complex (known as elongation factor P-TEFb). P-TEFb activates transcription by phosphorylating the C-terminal domain of RNA polymerase II. Lineage: Eukaryota; Metazoa; Chordata; Mammalia; Rodentia; Cricetidae. The record is from Rfam by way of RNAcentral.
AGAUGUGAGGGCGAUCCAGCUGAGGCAUCUGUUGCCUUCAUUGAUUGCCAGGGUUGAUUUGGCUGAUCUGGCUGGCGAGGCAGGUGUCCCCUUCCCCUUUCACUACUCCACGUGCAUCCCUCCCAAGGCUGCACACUUGGAGGAAGAGGACAACCUUCCCCAAACAGAGGAGGAUAGGUCUUCCAUNAAGGGUAUAUGAAUAGCUGNACUCUCCUGCUAGAACCUCCAAACAAGCUCUCAAGAAUCAACGUGGACAAUGAAAAGAUAAGCUAAAUUUAAAAAAUUAGGGGUACAUUUUUAAAAGUUGAAAACAAAUGAUGCAA